Molecule: ribosomal RNA, 403 nt
Filed under: Verrucomicrobiota bacterium
Lineage: Bacteria; Pseudomonadati; Verrucomicrobiota
Description: Verrucomicrobia bacterium partial 16S ribosomal RNA
Rfam family: Bacterial small subunit ribosomal RNA
Source: RNAcentral
UGGGGAAUAUUGCACAAUGGAGGGAACUCUGAUGCAGCGACGCCGCGUGAACGAAGAAGGCUUUCGAGUCGUAAAGUUCUUUUAUAUGGGAAGAUAAUGACGGUAUCAUAAGAAAAAGCCCCGGCUAACUACGUGCCAGCAGCCGCGGUAAUACGUAGGGGGCUAGCGUUGUCCGGAAUCACUGGGCGUAAAGGGUUCGCAGGCGGAAAUGCAAGUCAGGUGUAAAAGGCAGUAGCUUAACUACUGUAAGCAUUUGAAACUGCAUAUCUUGAGAAGAGUAGAGGUAAGUGGAAUUUUUUGUGUAGCGGUGAAAUGCGUAGAUAUUAAAAAGAAUACCGGUGGCGAAGGCGACUUACUGGGCUCAUUCUGACGCUGAGGAACGAAAGCGUGGGUAGCAAACAGG